RNAcentral lists this ribosomal RNA (446 nucleotides) under uncultured bacterium. RNAcentral's name for it is "partial 16S ribosomal RNA". It matches the Rfam family "Bacterial small subunit ribosomal RNA", at positions 338 to 795 of the family's 1533-position model. The record is from RNAcentral.
CCUACGGGAGACAGCAGUCGAGAAUCAUUCACAAUGGGGGAAACCCUGAUGGUGCGACGCCGCGUGGGGGAAUGAAGGCCUUCGGAUUGUAAACCCCUGUCAUGUGGGAGCAAAUUAAAAAGAUAGUACCACAAGAGGAAGAGACGGCUAACUCUGUGCCAGCAGCCGCGGUAAUACAGAGGUCUCAAGCGUUGUUCGGAAUCACUGGGCGUAAAGCGUGCGUAGGCUGUUUCGUAAGUCGUGUGUGAAAGGCGCGGGCUCAACCCGCGGACGGCACAUGAUACUGCGAGACUAGAGUGAUGGAGGGGGAAGCGGAAUUCUCGGUGUAGCAGUGAAAUGCGUAGAUAUCGGGAGGAACACUCGUGGCGAAGGCGGGUUCCUGGACAUUAACUGACGCUGAGGCACGAAGGCCAGGGGAGCGAAAGGGAUUAGAUACCCGUGUAGUC